This 134-nucleotide small RNA is filed under the name Enterobacteriaceae bacterium RIT714. Its description in RNAcentral is "RtT sRNA". It matches the Rfam family "RtT RNA". Rfam says of the family: This family represents a bacterial cis-regulatory element known as RtT RNA. The exact function of RtT is unknown although it is thought that it may be involved in changing the cellular response in relation to amino acid starvation. The record is from RNAcentral. Lineage: Bacteria; Pseudomonadati; Pseudomonadota; Gammaproteobacteria; Enterobacterales; Enterobacteriaceae.
GCUAUCCUCAAUUCAACGAGGAUGAGAAACUCCGGGGAAGAGCUUCGACCCGAGCGUAGCGAGAGAACGUUGCGACAGCAACGGCCCGAAGGGCGAGAGCCACGCAGUGGCGAAUUAUCCUCUCUCGCCGACCA